AGCGAACGCUGGCGGCAUGCCUAACACAUGCAAGUCGCGUCGGGGGUUUCGGUCAUCCGCUUCGGACGGCUGUGUAUCGCGCUGGACUGUAUCCCGAGGUGGGGGACAACCCUGGGAAACUGGGGCUAAUACCGCAUGUGGCCUGUGGGUCAAAGCCUUAGGGCGCCUUGGGAGCAGUCUUCGUCCGAUUAGGUAGUUGGUGGGGUAAAGGCCUACCAAGCCUGCGAUCGGUAGCUGGUCUGUGAGGACGAUCAGCCACCCUGGUACUGAGACACGGCCCAGACUCCUACGGGAGGCAGCAGUGGGGAAUAUUGGACGAUGGGCGCAAGCCUGAUCCAGCAAUGCCGCGUGGGUGAAGAAGGUCUUCGGAUUGUAAAGCCCUUUCGGCGGGGACGAUGAUGACGGUACCCGCAGAAGAAGCCCCGGCUAACUUCGUG
Molecule: ribosomal RNA, 437 nt
Filed under: uncultured bacterium
Lineage: Bacteria
Description: partial 16S ribosomal RNA
Rfam family: Bacterial small subunit ribosomal RNA
Source: RNAcentral